RNAcentral lists this ribosomal RNA (501 nucleotides) under uncultured bacterium. RNAcentral's name for it is "partial 16S ribosomal RNA". It matches the Rfam family "Bacterial small subunit ribosomal RNA", at positions 28 to 523 of the family's 1533-position model. The record is from RNAcentral.
GAUGAACGCUAGCGGCAGGCCUAACACAUGCAAGUCGAGGGGCAGCACAGAAACAGCAAUGUUUUGGUGGCGACCGGCGGACGGGUGCGUAACGCGUAUGCAACCUACCUUUAACAGGGGGAUAACGGAGAGAAAUUUCCACUAAUACCCCAUAACAUCGAUCAAGGCAUCUUGAUUGGUUGGAAACUCCGGUGGUUAAAGAUGGGCAUGCGUUGUAUUAGGUAGUUGGUGAGGUAAUGGCUCACCAAGCCUACGAUACAUAGGGGACUGAGAGGUUAGCCCCCCACACUGGUACUGAGAAACGGACCAGACUCCUACGGGAGGCAGCAGUGAGGAAUAUUGGUCAAUGGGGGCAACCCUGAACCAGCCAUGCCGCGUGCAGGAAGACGGCUCUAUGAGUUGUAAACUGCUUUUAAACAGGGAUAAAGCACAGUAUGUAUACUGUGUUGAAGGUACUGUAAGAAUAAGGAUCGGCUAACUCCGUGCCAGCCGCCGCGGUAA